GACGAACGCUGGCGGCGUGCUUAACACAUGCAAGUCGAGCGGUAAGGCUCCUUCGGGAGUCCACGAGCGGCGCACGGGUGAGUAACACGUGAGUAAUCUGCCCUUCACUUCGGGAUAACCACCGGAAACGGUGGCUAAUACCGAAUACGACCAGUCUUCGCAUGAGGUGCUGGUGGAAAGUCUUUUCGGUGAAGGAUGUGCUCGCGGCCUAUCAGCUUGUUGGUGGGGUAAUGGCCUACCAAGGCUUCGACGGGUAGCCGGCCUGAGAGGGUGACCGGCCACACUGGGACUGAGACACGGCCCAGACUCCUACGGGAGGCAGCAGUGGGGAAGAUUGGACAAUGGGCGAAAGCCUGAUCCAGCAACGCCGCGUGAGGGAUGACGGCCUUCGGGUUGUAAACCUCUUUCAGUACCGACGAAGCGCCCUGUCGGGUGGUGACGGUAGGUACAGAAGAAGGACCGGCCAACUACGUG
This 474-nucleotide ribosomal RNA is filed under the name uncultured bacterium. RNAcentral's name for it is "partial 16S ribosomal RNA". It matches the Rfam family "Bacterial small subunit ribosomal RNA", at positions 28 to 507 of the family's 1533-position model. The record is from RNAcentral.